Molecule: long non-coding RNA, 1408 nt
Filed under: Carassius auratus (goldfish)
Lineage: Eukaryota; Metazoa; Chordata; Actinopteri; Cypriniformes; Cyprinidae
Description: lncRNA (ENSCARG00000062081.1)
Source: RNAcentral
GCUUCUGAUGCAGGGUGUGCAGUCAUCAUUCGGAGUUUUUGAGGGGAAAACAGGCCAGAUGUUUUUCACGUAUGACCAAGUGGCUGUGGAAAAAAAGCGUUAUUACACAGCAGGAAAGCUCAUUUCUUGGUCUCUAAUGCACGGUGGACCUAGUUUCAAUGCACUAAAUACCACAUUGUACAAAUUAAUGUGUGGCAAGGCAGAUUCUGCCGAAGAAUUUGAUUGGCAGGACCUGCCAGAUGGGGAAAUUCAGGAUAAAGUGCGGCAGGUAUGCAUCUUCACACCGUUCAAACAGAAGGCAUUUAUGAUUUGUGAGAGUAAUGGAGUUUCUUUCUUUUAAGGUUUUUUUUUUGUCAGACCCAAGAAGACAAAGACCGAAUAGUGUCAAGCCUGGGAGACUGGAUUGCUGACUGUGGUGUGCCUGGAAUUUUCAGUGCAGCACCUAAUAUGAGACGGAUCUAUGGUCAGCUAAUCAAACACCACAUUUACUUCAGGUAUAAAACUCAAAAUAAUUUACAUUUUAAUCAGUCUACAGUUCUUUGAAUCAUGUUUUUUUUAAUGGCCUUCACUAAUAUUGGCAAAUAUGAGUAAAAUCCAGCUAUUUCAGAUCCCGGCUUGUGUUACUUCAUCUACUUCCAAAUGGUUUGGAAUGAAAGACAAAAAGGAUAAAUAGCUAAGACAAUUUUACAUGCUCAAAUUUACAACGGUAGACAAUUAUUGUGGAGGACACUUAAUUCAUAAAAAUGUUUUUUUUUUUUUUUUUUUUUAAAUAAAGUUUGGAAAUCUCUUGGAACAUAUUUAUUUUAGAACAGCAGACAUGAUCGCCCAAUUCAAGGAAGGCAUGAACUCCUGUAGCAACUUCUGGCAGAUUGUCGAAAAAAACUGGAAGGUCUUCCUUCCCUUGUUCACAAAUGAGGAGAAACAAUUAACAAGAGAUGAAUUUAGAGCCCUAUUCACCAUUUGCUGGAGUGAGGAGGGAAGCAAUCUCAGGGAAAAGGAGGAAGACACCAUAUUUUGCUGGGAGCUCCUGCUGAAUUCAAUUCAGGAAAAACAAUCAACAAUCACCUUCCAGGAGAUGCUGGUAUUUAUUACUGGGGCAGACAGCAUUCCCACACUGGGCUUCCCCGGAGAACCGAGAAUUGAGUUUUACACUCAAGAAAAUCGCCGGCUUCCAUUUGCAUCAACUUGUGGCAUGGUGCUCUUUUUGCCUCGAGGCAUCCAAGAAGAGGAAGAGUUGACUGAUCUGCUUAACACAGCACUCAAAGGUUACCUUGGAUUUGGAAAAAUGUAAUUUAGUUAAUUUCGUCAAAUGUUAAUUAAAGGGAUAGUUGACCCUUAAAAUAAUUUUCUGUCAUUAAUUACUCACCCUCAUGUUGUUCCAAACCCACCCAUAAAAGUUUUGUGAACC